UGCAUGGUUGUCGUCAGCUCGUGUCGUGAGAUGUUGGGUUAAGUCCCGCAACGAGCGCAACCCCUAUUGUUAGUUGCCAUCAUUCAGUUGGGCACUCUAGCGAGACUGCCGGUAAUAAACCGGAGGAAGGUGGGAUGACGUCAAAUCAUCAUGCCCCUUAUGACCUGGGCUACACACGUGCUACAAUGGUUGGUACAACGAGUUGCGAGUCGGUGACGGCGAGCUAAUCUCUUAAAGCCAAUCUCAGUUCGGAUUGUAGGCUGCAACUCGCCUACAUGAAGUCGGAAUCGCUAGUAAUCGCGGAUCAGCACGCCCGCGGUCGAAUACGUUCCGGGCCUU
RNAcentral lists this ribosomal RNA (339 nucleotides) under uncultured Streptococcus sp. RNAcentral describes it as "bacterial SSU rRNA". It matches the Rfam family "Bacterial small subunit ribosomal RNA", at positions 1042 to 1382 of the family's 1533-position model. The record is from RNAcentral. Lineage: Bacteria; Bacillati; Bacillota; Bacilli; Lactobacillales; Streptococcaceae.